UUUGCAAAAAUAAUAUUUAAACCUGGACUGAAUUCAAAUAAUAUGCAAAUCAUGAUAAUUCUGAGAUAACGAUCCCUGAAAGAUUCCACAAGUCGGUACAAGGCCCCAAACAUGGCAUCAAGCCCAGAUAUCAUCAAUAUAAUAUGCGAAGCAAUCGCCAACAUAGUACAAUUUAUCCCUUGGAUUGAACCGAGUCACAAUUUCCAGUAAUCGCCAACAUAGUACAAUGGAGUGCGUGUCUAGCCUCAUAUAGCGUCAUAAUAUGAUAUACCGGGGUUUCAAACCCUCAGGUCAUCAUCUACACCCAUUACUCACCUCAAGCCGGCCACAAACUAGCUCGCAAUGCCUUUCCCUCGAGAAUCAACCUCCGCGGAUACCAAAUCUAAUCAAAACCAAUAGGAAUACGUCACAAUAGGUUAAUGGAACAUAACCCAAUCGUAAUAACUUGAAAUACACCCUAAAACACGAAGUUGGCAAACCCGAGCCCCGAUCCCACUUCUCGAAAAUUACAAAAUUCACAUUGUCAGAAUCAUCACCUUGCCACGAGUCC
This 550-nucleotide long non-coding RNA is filed under the name Nicotiana benthamiana. RNAcentral describes it as "long non-coding RNA (NBEN_LNC011249)". Lineage: Eukaryota; Viridiplantae; Streptophyta; Magnoliopsida; Solanales; Solanaceae. The record is from RNAcentral.